This 453-nucleotide ribosomal RNA is filed under the name uncultured soil bacterium. Its description in RNAcentral is "bacterial SSU rRNA". It matches the Rfam family "Bacterial small subunit ribosomal RNA", at positions 26 to 481 of the family's 1533-position model. The record is from RNAcentral.
AGAUUGAACGCUGGCGGCAGGCCUAACACAUGCAAGUCGAGCGGCAGCACGGGUACUUGUACCUGGUGGCGAGCGGCGGACGGGUGAGUAAUGCCUAGGAAUCUGCCUGGUAGUGGGGGAUAACGCUCGGAAACGGACGCUAAUACCGCAUACGUCCUACGGGAGAAAGCAGGGGACCUUCGGGCCUUGCGCUAUCAGAUGAGCCUAGGUCGGAUUAGCUAGUUGGUGGGUAAUGGCUCACCAAGGCGACGAUCCGUAACUGGUCUGAGAGGAUGAUCAGUCACACUGGAACUGAGACACGGUCCAGACUCUACGGGAGCAGCAGUGGGAAUAUUGGACAAUGGGACGAAAGCCUGAUCCAGCCAUGCCGCGUGUGUGAAGAAGGUCUCGGAUUGUAAGCACGUUAAGUGGAGAAGGCAAGUUACUAAUACGUAUCUUGUUUGACGUUACCGA